This 1393-nucleotide ribosomal RNA is filed under the name metagenome. RNAcentral describes it as "bacterial SSU rRNA". It matches the Rfam family "Bacterial small subunit ribosomal RNA". The record is from RNAcentral.
CACGUAGGUGAACUGCCCUUGGGACGGGGAUAGCUUGUGGAAACACAAGAUAAUACCGAAUAAUGUCAUUGAAUUAUGAUUUAGUGAUGAAAGGGGCUUGAAAGCCCCGCCUUGGGAUGUGCCUGCGGCUGAUUAGCUAGUUGGUGGGGUAAUGGCUCACCAAGGCAACGAUCAGUAGCCGGCCUGAGAGGGUGAACGGCCACACUGGGACUGAGAUACGGCCCAGACUCCUACGGGAGGCAGCAGCUAAGAAUCUUCCGCAAUGGACGAAAGUCUGACGGAGCGACGUCGCGUGGGUGAUGAAGGCGGAAACGUUGUAAAGCCCUUUCAUAGAUGAGGAAUAAAUUUUGGAAGAAAUGCCAAAAUGAUGACGAUAGUCUAUGAAUAAGCCCCGGCUAAUUACGUGCCAGCAGCCGCGGUAAUACGUAUGGGGCGAGCGUUGUUCGGAUUUAUUGGGCGUAAAGGGUAUGCAGGCGGUAUUCUAAGUCUAGUGUGUAAUGCCUCGGCUUAACUGGGGAAGCGCGCUGGAAACUAGAAAACUAGAGUACAGGAAGGGGAGUUGGAAUUCCAGGUGUAGGGGUGAAAUCUGUAGAUAUCUGGAAGAACAUCAGUGGCGAAGGCGAGCUCCUGGCCAUGUACUGACGCUGAGAUACGAAAGCGUGGGGAGCAAACAGGAUUAGAUACCCUGGUAGUCCACGCUGUAAACGAUGUGCACUAGGUGUUGGGGUUUUUGAUCUCAGUGCCGUAGCUAACGCAUUAAGUGCACCGCCUGGGGAGUAUGCCCGCAAGGGUGAAACUCAAAGGAAUUGACGGGGGCCCGCACAAGCGGUGGAGCAUGUGGUUUAAUUCGAUGAUACGCGAGGAACCUUACCAGGGCUUGACAUGUUUAGGAAUGAUUUAGAGAUAGAUCAGCUGCUUGCAGCCUAUAUACAGGUGCUGCAUGACUGUCGUCAGCUCGUGCCGUGAGGUGUUGGGUUAAGUCCCGCAACGAGCGCAACCCCUGCUGUCAGUUACCAUCAUUAAGUUGGGGACUCUGGCGGGACUGCCGGUGACAAACCGGAGGAAGGUGGGGAUGAUGUCAAGUCAUCAUGGCCCUUAUGUCCUGGGCUACACACGUGCUACAAUGGUUGGUACAAAGUGCAGCGAAACCGCGAGGUUAAGCGAACCGCAUAAAGCCAAUCUCAGUUCGGAUUGAAGUCUGAAACCCGACUUCAUGAAGGUGGAAUCGCUAGUAAUCGCAUAUCAGCAUGAUGCGGUGAAUACGUUCCCGGGCCUUGUACACACCGCCCGUCACACCACCCGAGUUGGGAGCACCCAAAGUCGUUAGGCUAACCUUAUAGGAGGCCGGCGCCGAAGGUGCGCUCGGUGAGGGGGGUGAAGUCGUAACAAGGUA